Non-coding RNA from Scophthalmus maximus (turbot), 2279 nucleotides. The record is from the annotation of a RefSeq genome assembly. NCBI's taxonomy places the organism in Eukaryota, Metazoa, Chordata, Actinopteri, Pleuronectiformes, Scophthalmidae.
AUCUCGCAUUUGAUCUGUGAUAAGUUUGUCAGAUGAGUGCGAUGUGCAAACGCUUCUCCUCUCGUACUGUAUUGCAAUAAAUGCUGUUUCAAUUCCAGGAUGUGUCCGGCUUUAUACACAUGUGGACUUUUACUGUUCGUGCUUACAGGGAACGUGGACAGUGUUACCUUUGAACAGUCCUCCUCUCAGGUGGUUAGGGAUGGGACCGCGCAGCUCAGGAUCAACUGCAGCCACGAUGGCAGCAACCUCCAAACGAUGCUGUGGUACCAACACAAACAGGGCAGCCGGUCGAUGAGCCUCAUUGGGCACAGCGUCCUGCUGGCCGACCCCGUCUACGAGGGCCGGUUCAAAGACAGGUUUCAGUUAAAAAGAGACGACGUGCUGAGAGGAUCUCUGAUCAUCCUCACAGCGAGUCCGUCCGACUCAGCGGUGUAUUUCUGCGCCGCUAGCACACACUGAUGUGGUUUGAUACCACUGCUGCACUAAAAACCUCCCGUGGAAAACUAAUGACAGCUUCUCCUGACAGUUUCAGUGAUCAGAGAGUUAUUAUGCUGCUUGUUUGUUGUGUUGUAACACAUUGGUGUGGCCUUAGUUAUUUAUUGGAUAUAAUCUAUGACCGAGCACCUGGAAAUAUAAAAUCUGGUCCAUGUUUUUAUAAUAUCAACAUAGUUAUGUACCAAUACAUACUACUGUGUAAAAUGUCCGAUCUAGCAAUGUAAAAGAAAGUGAUGACAAAAAAAAGUCCUAAUUUGUCCGGAUUUGCACCAAAAUAGAAUGGCUUCAUUCUUGGCCCGUGUCCCGACCUUCCACCAAGUUCUAUCCAAAUCGGGCGCAGUCCUUUCUUGUGCGUAAUCCUGCCGACACUCAAACAAACAGACAAACAAAUGAACAGGGCUGAAACGUCUACCUCCUUGGAGGAGGUGAAAAGGGCAAAGGAGCCAGAAAGAGGCACAAAAUCAUUUGGAAAAGUCAAAAGAGGCGGGAACACACGGGCAGCUGAGGCUGUGAAGCUUCAUGAUCGCGUGAGAGUGCAGAUGGAAAUAAUCAUUUCAUAAUUUGACUACAGCAGCACAUUAAUACAACUGUAACCGGGUUAGAUUUAUAUGACAACAGACAAACAUCAGUUGAUAUGAAAAUAUGAAAGCACAAUAACUGAUCCUCUGCAUUUCAGAUAAAUGAGCAGGUGUUAUUUGUCGCGGUCGGUAUUAUCGCCCUGAACAGUUUCUCAUCGGUUGUCACACUCUUGUCAAGCCUCCACUAUUUCAACUCCAAUUUUUGAAUUCUGCGUACAGCCUGACUGGGAUUAAAGUAUAUUAAAAUUUAAGAGGUAAUCACACAGUGGCCUCUACAGGGUUUAUGUGGGAUUACACUGGGAUUACAUUUAAAAAAAUCAGACCUUGGUUUAUGGAAACCAGGAUAACAUUUUAAAUGGGAGCCAUUAAAAAUAACUAAACAUAGUGAAUGAGGUUUAAUUAACAAAUGUUAUAUGUCUGUCACAUUACAUUUGUCAAUAUGCUUUGUCCCAAGAGUGAUUUUAUUUUUCUUCAAUUAAAAUGGUUCCAUAAAAGGAAGGCGAGUAUAUAUUUUCAUAUGAAAUGGUUAUGGAAUAAAUUUGAGGACGUCAUGUUGUCUACAGGCGUCUUUAUCCUCUUUAAUGUCAUGAAUGAUAAUUGAUGUCAUUAAUUAUCUAAGUAAUAACAUUUUUCUUUUUUAAAUGAAAAAUUAACUGUAAACUUUUAUCUGUUCAUGUGAGCAGCUCUUACAAAAUAAAACAAAAGUAAAUCCUGUUCGUACUCUCUUACUUGUAAAUAUUGCUUUCCAACUUAAAUACGUGUCGUGCAGUUAUGAUGCCAUAACAUACAGUUGAUGAGGUCACUGGUCGUUGGGCACUGACCCUUUUUCAUGCAAUUCACUUUAUUUUAAGCGAACAUCUUUUAGUAAAUGUGAGUGUCCUCCGUUCUCAGAUAACAGGGUGGAUAAAGAGGUGUGACCGUGAGCGACGUCACUUCCUUUGAGAAGUCACAAAAAUAGGAACAAACAAAAACCAGUUUCCCCUUUUGCCUUCCCUCUGUUCUUGCAUCUUUUCUUAGCAGACACAGAAAUAGCAGCAGGCAGACUGGAGCCCGUUCCGCUGUCGGGGCGUCCGACCUGUACAGCUGCUCUCUCUCACAGGGAGAGAUGGAGGCUGAGAUAUGGUGGAGCUUGGGUGGGGGAAGGAGAGAAUGAAGAGAAGAAAACACUUCACGUUUUUGUGUGAUGCUUUUUCACCGUGGGGACAG